GCGUGGAGACAGGUGGUGCAUGGCUGUCGUCAGCUCGUGUCGUGAGAUGUUGGGUUAAGUCCCGCAACGAGCGCAACCCUCACCUCUUGUUGCCAUCAGGUCAUGCUGGGCACUCUAGAGGAACUGCCCCGGUCAACGGGGAGGAAGGCGGGGAUGACGUCAAGUCAUCAUGCCCCUUACGUCCUGGGCUACACACGUGCUACAAUGGCCGGUACAAUGGGAUGCGACGCCGCGAGGUAGAGCUAAACCCAAAAAGCCGGUCUAAGUUCAGAUUGGAGUCUGCAACUCGACUCCAUGAAGGAGGAAUCGCUAGUAAUCGCGUAUCAGCACGACGCGGUGAAUACGUUCCCGGGCCUUGUACACACCGCCCGUCACACCACGAAAGCCAGCUGUACUCGAAGUCGCUGAG
RNAcentral lists this ribosomal RNA (409 nucleotides) under uncultured Methylomirabilota bacterium. Its description in RNAcentral is "bacterial SSU rRNA". It matches the Rfam family "Bacterial small subunit ribosomal RNA", at positions 1026 to 1434 of the family's 1533-position model. Lineage: Bacteria; Methylomirabilota (SeqCode). The record is from RNAcentral.